This 463-nucleotide ribosomal RNA is filed under the name uncultured bacterium. RNAcentral's name for it is "bacterial SSU rRNA". It matches the Rfam family "Bacterial small subunit ribosomal RNA", at positions 28 to 475 of the family's 1533-position model. The record is from RNAcentral.
GACGAACGCUGGCGGCGUGCCUAAUACAUGCAAGUAGAACGCUGAAGGAGGAGCUUGCUUCUCUGGAUGAGUUGCGAACGGGUGAGUAACGCGUAGGUAACCUGCCUGGUAGCGGGGGAUAACUAUUGGAAACGAUAGCUAAUACCGCAUAAGAGUAGAUGUUGCAUGACAUUUGCUUAAAAGGUGCAAUUGCAUCACUACCAGAUGGACCUGCGUUGUAUUAGCUAGUUGGUGAGGUAACGGCUCACCAAGGCGACGAUACAUAGCCGACCUGAGAGGGUGAUCGGCCACACUGGGACUGAGACACGGCCCAGACUCCUACGGGAGGCAGCAGUAGGGAAUCUUCGGCAAUGGACGGAAGUCUGACCGAGCAACGCCGCGUGAGUGAAGAAGGUUUUCGGAUCGUAAAGCUCUGUUGUAAGAGAAGAACGAGUGUGAGAGNGGAAAGUUCACACNGNGACGG